UACGUAGGGUGCAAGCGUUGUCCGGAAUUAUUGGGCGUAAAGAGUUUGUAGGCGGUUUGUCGCGUCUGCUGUGAAAUUUCGGGGCUCAACCCCGAACUUGCAGUGGGUACGGGCAGACUAGAGUGUGGUAGGGGAGACUGGAAUUCCUGGUGUAGCGGUGAAAUGCGCAGAUAUCAGGAGGAACACCGAUGGCGAAGGCAGGUCUCUGGGCCACUACUGACGCUGAGAAGCGAAAGCAUGGGGAGCGAACAGG
Molecule: ribosomal RNA, 253 nt
Filed under: uncultured bacterium
Lineage: Bacteria
Description: partial 16S ribosomal RNA
Rfam family: Bacterial small subunit ribosomal RNA
Source: RNAcentral